Molecule: transfer RNA, 57 nt
Filed under: Agama spinosa
Lineage: Eukaryota; Metazoa; Chordata; Lepidosauria; Squamata; Agamidae
Description: tRNA-Ser
Source: RNAcentral
GAGAUUAAAUAUUGAACUGCUAAAUCACACACCCGAAUCUAAACACUCGGACUUCUC